Non-coding RNA from Odocoileus virginianus texanus, 951 nucleotides. The record is from the annotation of a RefSeq genome assembly. NCBI's taxonomy places the organism in Eukaryota, Metazoa, Chordata, Mammalia, Artiodactyla, Cervidae.
UUGAAUAUAGUUCCCUGUGCUAUACAGUAACACAGGAAAUUUUUAACUCAUAAUUCUGUUUUUUUAAAAAGCCAAAUAGUUCAAGGCUCACAACAUAUAAAUCCUCUUCUGUACAUAAUCAUAAUGCUUUGAAAUUCAACCACAGAAGGGCAGUAAAAAGAUGGGGCAUGUUAAUGAAAAGUGAACUUCUCCAUUGUUCUCUAUUUGGCCUCUGGAGAGCACUGCUGCCUAAGUUGGAAAUUGUUUUUCUGUGAAGGAUCAGAAGAAUCUCACAAAACCCUAGGUUUUAACAAGAUAUUCUGAUCAUUUUUUACACAGUGAGAUGUAAAGCAUCUCAGACACCAGAGACAGGCAUUUUGUUAAGACAGCUUCUCUUCCUAACAACCUCCCUACCAUCUCCAUCAGAAGAAAUAUAUAUCCUUUGUCAUUCUUAAUUUCAGAGAAACCUGGGUUCAAGUCAGCCAGUCUUCAGACUUAUUUGUGGGGAACCUGUUAGAAAGGAGCUCACUGCCUCUUCACUGCUCCACUAUGACCUUGGUGUUCACCUUGAUGCUUGAGAUGCUCCUGUUUCUGAGAGCUGGAGCCCAGUCAGUGACCCAGGCUGAUGACCACAUCACUGUCUCUGAAGGAGCCCGUCUGGAGCUGAAGUGCAACUACUCAUCUUCUGUUUCACCAUACCUCUUCUGGUCCGUGCAGUUCCCGGACCAAGGACUCCAGCUUCUCCUGAAGUACGUGUCUGGAGACAAUCUUGUUUCAGGCAUCAAAGGUUUUGAGGCUGAAUUUAGGAGGAGUGAGAAGUCCUUCCACCGGAGGAAAAUACCAGCUCAUUGGAAAGACUCGGCCAAGUUCUUCUGUGCUCUGAUUCAGUUGAAACCAGAGGGUGGGGCUUCCUGUCACAGAGUGUCCGCUGAGCAUGGUUUGUUGGCUGAGCUGAUUGGUUGCAGGAGCUGA